This 110-nucleotide ribosomal RNA is filed under the name Pogona vitticeps (central bearded dragon). Lineage: Eukaryota; Metazoa; Chordata; Lepidosauria; Squamata; Agamidae. The record is from RNAcentral.
UGGUGUCACCAUACCUCCCUGAACACACCUGAUUUCAGCUAAUUUCAGAAGCUAAGUAGAGUUGGCCCUUGGCUGUGAUGAGUGGAGUCUUGACCUACGAAUGGCCCCAC